CCCUAGCCCCGAUAGUAGUGGAAAUCCUUUUGUGUCCGCCGCGGCGGAUACAAAAGAUUGGAACGGAUAGCGGGAUUAGCU
Molecule: small RNA, 81 nt
Filed under: Flavobacterium sp. 2
Lineage: Bacteria; Pseudomonadati; Bacteroidota; Flavobacteriia; Flavobacteriales; Flavobacteriaceae
Description: Flavo-1 RNA
Rfam family: Flavo-1 RNA
Source: RNAcentral